Molecule: long non-coding RNA, 2560 nt
Organism: Phymastichus coffea
Lineage: Eukaryota; Metazoa; Arthropoda; Insecta; Hymenoptera; Eulophidae
Exons: 12
Source: RefSeq, a predicted model, not a curated record
GAGGGAGCGGGCGAACAACAGAGAGUGAGAGUGAGAGUGAGAGAGAGAGAGAGGGAGAGAGAAAAAAAUUUAUAAUAAUAACACUGCAGUUUGUUUUAGUAAAUAAAAUAAUAUAAGGUUUUAGUUAUUUUACAUAACAGUUAUAGUGUUCACUCGUUAUUGAAGCUAUUCUGCUACGCCUAACAAAUGCCUUGUACCCAGAGAGCUUUGGGAUUGAAUUCUAGGGCUCUUUGCUGUUUUAACACUGACAACUGUAACUAUGUUAGCCACAGAUGAGUUAACCAACAAGUUCACCUCUACCAAAAGAGCUACUAUACUGUAAAAAGCUGUUAUGAUUAACCAAUUCAGUGUAUCCAGGGAGCUUCGGCAUUCCACUCUGCACUUCUUUGCUGUGUUCUUAUCAUUAGCAAUCCUGUACUACAAGUCUACAAUGUUAAAAAAAACAUUCAGGCCAUACAAGACCUAUUAUUCUAUAAGUUCUCAACAACGAAUGAUAAAAGAAAAUAACUGUUAAUAAGUGUUAUGAAUUGAUAAUAACUGUUGAUAACAUUUAUUAACUCAAUUAAAUUGAUAAUAACAAUUAUAUGUGUCUAAAAUCUGACGUUUAUAAACUAUUAUAAACUGUAAAUAACUGAUUAUAAAAGUUAUUUUAUGCUCAUAUUUGUUCACUGCAAUUAUAUGCAUAAAUUUAUUUCCAACAGGGAACUAAUAGUGGUAUGUAUUUAUAUAUUAUUGAUAGUAAAAAAUUAAAUAAACUUAUCAUAUAUGCAAUAACUUUCAUGUUCCAUUGUAAAGAUCAUUAUGCUUAGAAAAUUUUUUAUGUAUAUAGGCGGUAAAAUUGUAUGGGCAAAACACAGUGAAUUUCAAUAGGUCAAUUUGAAAAUACUCGAAGAAGAAGCUCAGGAAUGUGAGAAGUUGCUAUUAACUGUCAAAGACAUGAGUGCUUGUGAAAUCUAUCCACAAACAAUUCAUCACAAUCCUAAAGGAAGAUUCGUUGUAGUUUGUGAUUUUAAUUUAUUAUUUAUACAUUUAUAGGCUUGAGAAGCAAGGCUUUUGGACAGGCUUUUGAAGUUGUCUGGGCUGCAGAUUCGAGUCAGUAUGCUGUCAGAGUUUAUCAUGCCGAUAUUAAACUGAACCAAUAUCUGAAGGAGGCUAUUAUUGUUUUCUGAAUAUGGACCAAUAAAUUAGAAUCUUUCACAUCUAAUUUUGUAUUAAAUUCAUACACAUGUAUUGGAUCAUUUACAAAAGCAGCUGCAUAUAAUAGAGUACAAGGGAGAAUGUUAAUUUGCUAUUCUCACAAGAAAAAAUAUGCAAUUUAAGGUCAUACAGAAUUAAAAAAUGUAAAAGACCAUUGCUUUUUAUUAUGGUAUUUAUAUGGUAUUUGGUUUGGAUAGUACAGAAGCUUGCAAACUAAAUGAAUUUUUCAUAGCUAAUUGUAUACAAUGGCGUUAAGACUGUAUCAGUUCACGAUGAAAUGAAAAUACUCACAUUAAUGGUGGUACAUAUAAUGUGAUAAUAUUGUAUGGUUUGAAUUAAGAAUUAAUCGCUGUAAUUUAUAUUUCUGGUUUGGAACUGAAGAAUGAAUUGAAAAAAUAUUUACCAGGAAUGAUUCUGUACUGAGGAAAUUUUGACUUCAAAAACCCAUUUAAUUGAAGAUUUUCUGUACUCAUGGAUAAUAUCAAAAAUUCAUGCAGCUGCUAGAUAUAUUACAGAACAAAUAUAUGCUGACGAACCAUUUUUAAUAUCCACUAGUGUAAAGGACUAUGAAGUUUCAACUUUGAGAACUAUUGUCAAUGCUAUUCAAAAGCUGGAUCUCAAGAGUCCAUAAAAUGAGCAUUAUAUUUGGUUAGUUAGAAAUAGGCCCACCUGGCAGUGGCAAAACAACAUACUACACUGAAAUGGGAAAAUUUCUUGAGAGUUUGGGUAGAAAAGUAGCAAUCAUAAAUAUUGAUCCAGCCAAUGAAAAUAUGGGCCAAGAAUUGCCCAGCAGUAGAUGUUUCUGAAUUAGUUAUACAUCAAGAAGUUAUGAAAACUUAAAAAUUUGGACUUAAUGGGGCUUUUGUAUAUUGUAUUGAGUUUUUAGAGAAAAAUAUUGAAUGGUUGAUUAGAAAAGUUCUUAAUUUCAAAAACCACUACCUUUUGAUUGAUUGCCCAGGACAGGUUGAACUAUAUAUUCAUCAUGAAUCUAUGAACAAAAUUACUGAGAAAUUGUCUACAAAUUUAGUUAGACUUUGCUGUGUUAAUUUAAUGGAUUCACAUCAUUGUAGUCAUCCAGAAAGUAUCUUUCUUCAUUGAUGGUUUGUACGAUAUUCAUGGAUAAUUUGAUAACGAAGUCAGAUGAGAAAUAUAAAUUAUUAAUCUGCUUUGAUGAAACUAAAAAAUAUCUUCAUUUUGAACAAGUUGAUAUAUUUUGAAAAUAUUUAAAGUAGAACUACCAGAAGAUUGGAAUGUUAUAGCUGAUGUAAGACUUCAAUGCUUUAAAUAAGUGAUGCAUCCACAGGUUGGGCUUAGAAUGACAUGAUUAUCAAUGGUGUUGUAUCCGAAUAAUUAAAACCGAUUU